Molecule: ribosomal RNA, 445 nt
Filed under: uncultured bacterium
Lineage: Bacteria
Description: bacterial SSU rRNA
Rfam family: Bacterial small subunit ribosomal RNA
Source: RNAcentral
GUCGAACGAACCCCUUCGGGGGUUAGUGGCGCACGGGUGCGUAACGCGUGGGAACCUGCCUUUAGGUUCGGAAUAACAGUUAGAAAUGACUGCUAAUACCGGAUAAUGUCUUCGGACCAAAGAUUUAUCGCCUUUAGAUGGGCCCGCGUUAGAUUAGAUAGUUGGUGGGGUAAUGGCCUACCAAGUCGACGAUCUAUAGCUGGUCUGAGAGGAUGAUCAGCCACACUGGGACUGAGACACGGCCCAGACCCCUACGGGAGGCAGCAGUGGGGAAUAUUGGACAAUGGGGGGAACCCUGAUCCAGCCAUGCCGCGUGUGUGAAGAAGGCCUUAUGGUUGUAAAGCACUUUAAGCGAGGAGGAGGCUACUAGUAUUAAUACUACUGGAUAGUGGACGUUACUCGCAGAAUAAGCACCGGCUAACUCUGUGCCAGCAGCCGCGGUAAU